RNAcentral lists this ribosomal RNA (896 nucleotides) under Podospora excentrica. Its description in RNAcentral is "LSU rRNA". It matches the Rfam family "Eukaryotic large subunit ribosomal RNA", at positions 34 to 966 of the family's 3401-position model. The record is from RNAcentral. Lineage: Eukaryota; Fungi; Ascomycota; Sordariomycetes; Sordariales; Podosporaceae.
CUAGCAUAUCAAUAAGCGGAGGAAAAGAAACCAACAGGGAUUGCCUCACCCACGGCGAGUGAAGCGGCAACAGCUCAAAUUUGAAAUCUGGCUCCGGCCCGAGUUGUAAUUUGCAGAGGAAGCUUCUGGAGACGCGCCGUCUAAGUCCCCUGGAACGGGGCGCCACAGCGGGUGAGAGCCCCAUGUGACGGUUGCAGACCCAGUGUGAAGCUCCUUCGACGAGUCGAGUAGUUUGGGAAUGCUGCUCAAAAUGGGAGGUAAAUUCCUUCUAAAGCUAAAUAUUGGCCAGAGACCGAUAGCGCACAAGUAGAGUGAUCGAAAGAUGAAAAGCACUUUGAAAAGAGGGUUAAACAGCACGUGAAAUUGUUGAAAGGGAAGCGCUCAUGACCAGACUUGCGCCGGGCUGAUCAUCUGGUGUUCUCACCAGUGCACUCCGCCCGGCUCAGGCCAGCAUCGGUUUCGGCGGGGGGAUAAAGGCGCUGGGAACGUAGCUCCCCCGGGAGUGUUAUAGCCCAGCGUGCAAUACCCCCGCUGGGACCGAGGUCCGCGCAUUGCAAGGAUGCUGGCGUAAUGGUCAUCAGCGACCCGUCUUGAAACACGGACCAAGGAGUCAAGGUUUUGCGCGAGUGUUUGGGUGUCAAACCCGCACGCGUAAUGAAAGUGAACGUAGGUGAGAGCUUCGGCGCAUCAUCGACCGAUCCUGAUGUUUACGGACGGAUUUGAGUAAGAGCGUUAAGCCUUGGACCCGAAAGAUGGUGAACUAUGCUUGGAUAGGGUGAAGCCAGAGGAAACUCUGGUGGAGGCUCGCAGCGGUUCUUACGUGCAAAUCGAUCGUCAAAUCCAACCACCGGGGCGAAAGACUAAUCGAACCAUCUAGUAGCUGGUUACCGCCGAAU